RNAcentral lists this ribosomal RNA (253 nucleotides) under uncultured bacterium. RNAcentral's name for it is "partial 16S ribosomal RNA". It matches the Rfam family "Bacterial small subunit ribosomal RNA", at positions 524 to 776 of the family's 1533-position model. The record is from RNAcentral.
UACGUAGGGUGCGAGCGUUAAUCGGAAUUACUGGGCGUAAAGCGUGCGCAGGCGGUUUUGUAAGUCAGACGUGAAAUCCCCCGGCUUAACCUGGGAACUGCGUCUGAUACUGGGAGGCUUGAGUAUGGGAGAGGGAUGUAGAAUUCCAGGUGUAGCGGUGAAAUGCGUAGAUAUCAGGAGGAACACCGGUGGCGAAGGCGGGUCUCUGGGCCGUAACUGACGCUGAGGAGCGAAAGCAUGGGGAGCGAACAGG